RNAcentral lists this long non-coding RNA (908 nucleotides) under Rattus norvegicus (Norway rat). RNAcentral's name for it is "long non-coding RNA NONRATT018619". Lineage: Eukaryota; Metazoa; Chordata; Mammalia; Rodentia; Muridae. The record is from RNAcentral.
UGCCUUUCAGAGGUGAUUCUGUCCUUCCACUGUGGGACCUGAGGAUCGAGAGCCCAGCUUUUCUGGCAGGCUCUCUCCUCAGCUGAGCCAUCUCACCAGUACAUGAUGCACUUUUUCCAAAGUAAACUGAAGCCCUUCUUUAUUUCAGAAAUAUUUUCUCAGCUUAGGUCAUUAGGUAGCUAUUGUGUUCCUUGUUCCAUUCUGACCAUCCAGUUGCAGAAUAGGUGGAACUCCCCAGCCUGCCACCCGUUGCUCAUCUCCACCCUAAGUGUGGCAGAUAUCAGAAAGCUCCAGAAAAGAAAAUUACUUCUGGACGAUAGAUCUCUGUUUACAGUGAGUAAGGAGGCACAGGACAGUCCUACGAGGAAGGUACAAUUGUUCUUAACCAAGGGAGAGGCCUGCAGGCUGCAAAAUGAGGCUCAACUGAGUCCCACAACUCUGCCAUAGGUGUAGUUCCAAAUCAUGCACUCUGUGGAGUAGGAUCACAUAGCAAUGUCUUCAACCCCAUUCUCUCAGCAAUGGCAUGCUCAGUACCACCCUGGCAUCUCAAGAUCUCACGCAUCAUCUGUGUCUCCAAGACAUCAUUCGUUCACAUCAUUUGUUCUACAUUUCUGCUUCUAUGGCAUGGUCAGUCUCACUUGGGUUUCAGAACAUGUGGCUUUUCUUUCUGCUUUGUUCUCUUAAGCAUGUAACAGAUGCUGUUUCCACCGACGCUGAUUCACAGAGAAACAAACAUUUGGUUACAGCAGACUAUUAUGAACAUUUAGGGGGAUAAGAUCAUAAAAAAAUAACCAAGCUCCCCCCCCAAAAAAUCUCACAAUUAUUAUAAAAUCCUCAUAUUUGUCACCUAUCCAACAUUGUAAUGAAAUCCCGAGGUUAUGAUGAAAUUAAAGAAAAGAGAUGUACGU